RNAcentral lists this ribosomal RNA (586 nucleotides) under uncultured bacterium. RNAcentral describes it as "bacterial SSU rRNA". It matches the Rfam family "Bacterial small subunit ribosomal RNA", at positions 338 to 916 of the family's 1533-position model. The record is from RNAcentral.
CCUACGGGAGGCAGCAGUGGGGAAUACUGCACAAUGGGGGAAACCCUGAUGCAGCCAUGCCGCGUGUGUGAAGAAGGCCUUCGGGUUGUAAAGCACUUUUAGUUGUGAGGAAAGUUUAGUAGUUAAUACCUGCUAGAUGUGACGUUAGCAACAGAAGAAGCACCGGCUAACUCCGUGCCAGCAGCCGCGGUAAUACGGAGGGUGCGAGCGUUAAUCGGAAUUACUGGGCGUAAAGCGCACGCAGGCGGUCUGUUAAGCUAGAUGUGAAAGCCCCGCGCUCAACGUGGGAGGGUCAUUUAGAACUGGCAGACUAGAGUCUUGGAGAGGGGAGUGGAAUUCCAGGUGUAGCGGUGAAAUGCGUAGAGAUCUGGAGGAACAUCAAUGGCGAAGGCAACUCCCUGGCCAAAGACUGACGCUCAUGUGCGAAAGUGUGGGUAGCGAACAGGAUUAGAUACCCUGGUAGUCCACACCGUAAACGCUGUCUACUAGCUGUUUGUGAAUUUAAUUCGUGAGUAGCGAAGCUAACGCGAUAAGUAGACCGCCUGGGGAGUACGGCCGCAAGGUUAAAACUCAAAGGAAUUGACGG